This is a non-coding RNA of Heterocephalus glaber (naked mole-rat), 506 nucleotides long. The record is from RefSeq and is a predicted model, not a curated record. Lineage: Eukaryota; Metazoa; Chordata; Mammalia; Rodentia; Bathyergidae.
CCCGGGCGCGCCGACUUUACCUGCUGUCCGGCGCACGGUGGGUGCUGUGGCGCCCGGUUCCCCCCGCCCAGCUGCAGCCAGUCCGCCUCGCCGUCACCGGCUAGCCUGUUGGGCAUGGACAAAACUUCAAUUUCAAUUUCUACAACUACAAAAUAGAAAUAAUAUCAACUUUUUAUUUUCAUAAAAUUUAAGUGAGGUGAUACAUGAAGUGGCUGUGAAGCAGGAGAUUGGGUCAGGGCAAGCUGGCUGGGCAACCAGGUGUGACCUGCUAAUCAUGGAGAACCAGAACACAUGUGCAGAAAACAAUUUCCAAGCCCUGUACCUGGGGCCAAUCACAAAGAGCUAUCUUCAGUUCUUCUGGUGCGAAAUCAAACGGUGUUAAUGGUAAGAUGGCCUACACUUAACAAUAGGCUGAAGAAUGAAAGACAAAAGGACUGUGGCACUCCAGUUCUCUUGUUGUCCUGCUCUCACUCUUCCCACCUUUAAUAAAUGUAAAUCACUCACUA